CCUUAAUCCCAGAGUGUGGCGCACGUGAGAGGGGAGGAGGUUCCUGGGGAUGAGCAGCCAGCCAUGGAGGCAAUAACAGGAAGGGUGGCCGUCGCCCGUGCAUCGCCUAGACAGAGCUUGGGGGAGGCUCUCUUCCUCUCGUCUGCAUCUCUUUCCUGAUGAAAUCAUGAAAGCAUAUGAUAAAUCAAUUUUAAGAAAAUAAAACAUUUCUAGACUUGAAUCCAGCGGUAAACCUACAUAUGCCAGCAGCAGGAAACCACAUGAACCGAUGCCUUGACUGCAUACCACACACCCGUGAGACAUGGGGAAUCAAACCAGAAAAAAAAUUCAUGAGAGGUGACACAAGCGCAACGUACCAACGAUGGCCGCCGCCAGAGUGGAUCGGAGAAGGGGAUGAGCCUACGGGCUGGGUGCUC
This 416-nucleotide long non-coding RNA is filed under the name Triticum aestivum (bread wheat). RNAcentral describes it as "long non-coding RNA (TAES_LNC013707)". Lineage: Eukaryota; Viridiplantae; Streptophyta; Magnoliopsida; Poales; Poaceae. The record is from RNAcentral.